UAAUAUACAUCUAGAAAUCUGUAAUUUUUCGAAUUUAAUUUUGUGCAGUUUUUGGCGCCCCCUUCUAAUUAUCCCCCGAGUAGUUUCGGUUUUCUGUUUACAUUUGUUAGAGACUUAGAGUUCAGAGUGCCCGGCUGCGAAGUAAAAAAUCGGUGGUUUGAAUUCUGCAAUAAAAUACACCUAUUACAUUAAACACACAAUAAGAAUAGUUUCGUAGUUAUGACGAUCAUCCCGGAAUGUUAAAAAGUGUGAGAUACUAUUUGUGAAAAGAUCUAGCGUGUUAAUGUUUUAAGCGUAUCUGUUAGAUUUCAUUUUUCGUCGAUGUCGCUUUCCUUCGGUGAGCUCGCGUCAAUUUUCCCAUGAAGACAACUCGACUUGUACCGUAGUAAAUUGAUGAACAUCUCGGUACUAACUGCUGCGAAAGGUGCAGCAGCUAUGCCGGACUCAGGUGAAUCCAAACGAAAGAGAAGAGUGGAAGAAAACAACGAUUUCAUUCAGCGAAAGCAAAAGUGUCCAGAAUGUCUGGAACCAACUGGGAGGUUGUUAAAACAGGCUAGAAAAGCUUGCGAAGAAUUCAGCGAAUCCACCAUCUUCUACCAAACUCGAGGACAAGGAUAGAGAAGGCCUUGAUAAAAGAACAUCAAAGAUAGAAGAAGAUGAAAUCAAACAGCUUCGAACGCUUACAACACUUGGCUACGAUCCGCGAUUCCUCCACGAGAAGCGCCAUCUUAUCUGUGAUUUCGUUUUAGAAUCUCUUAUGAAUGGCCGAGAUAUGUACAAGUCUGCUCCUGGAUGCCGUUGCAAGAUUGUCAGCGAAUUACAGAAUCAUUUUGUAAUGUACCUAUUAUAAAAUUAUAGAAAAAUACGCUAUAGCCACGUUUGCUCCUUGUAGUUUAAGUGAAGAUAGCGGUUGUUAACAGAAUAUGAUUCAAUAACAUGGGAAAAGUUCUGUGUUAAAGUCUCGAUAAAGUUUCACUGUUUCACCUAGAUUACCUAUGCAUUGAGACAUGCGUGCAUAUAGUAAAAAAUGAACGCGUAGAUAGCAGAAUUUCUCUCAUUUUUUUCUCGUUGGUUUUCUAGGUCUUCAUAACAUGAAAUCAAAGCGCACAGCCAAGGGCUCUUGUAGGAAGUGGUAAAUCGGUCUUUGUGCCUGAGCUUUAUAAGCAGAAAACAAAGAAAGCCAAAAACAAAUGGAGAUGAUCUUAAAAAUUGCAUCAGCUAAUUAUUUGUUCGCAUUUAGGGUGCGAGCAACGUAUCACGGACCUAGGCGCAGAUUAAAAUCGUGUUAAUGUGGGCAGCAAUUUUACACUAGCUACUCUGAAUACAAAUGAGAUCGAAACGAUUCUAGGGGUUAUAUAUGGAACGGUAGCACGUAGGACACUCGGUAAGGUAUUUUUUUUUUAUCAAGAAUGAAUGUUAUUAUAAAUAGUAGAAAAAGACGAAGAAACAUCUGAUGGAGGAAUUACUAUUUAUAGAGUAAAACUACGAAAAGGAGACGCAUUUUCGAUAUAUAAAAGACUGGUGGAUCAAUAAAGUCAUAAAGCCUUUCUCAAAGAUGGACGAUGGUCGAUCGGUUUUCCUGUCUUAAAAGCGUUUUGUUCAAAACACACUUCUAGCAAACUAACGCUGCUAGUGAUUACUUGAGAGUCUCACGCUGAGGUAUAUGUUUUUUAUACUGUGUCUGAUCUGCGAUUGGUUGGUACGUGUACAGAAAUAGGCAGGAGUUAUCUGGGGUAUCCUAUUUUUUCUGUCAACUCGACAAUUCUAGCGCACCUCUUAGCCAUUCGUUAGCUGCUGCAAUUUAGAGUUUGUGGUAGAUUGACACGUUAAUCUGAUUGCCACUGUCAUCAGCAAGUGAGAUUCUACUCAGAUCACUUCUUUAAGGCCGUGGAUGUACAUCUGGUAUCACUAUUUGGUAUUUGUACAGUAUGUACUGUUUAUUACUGCUGGUAUUACUAUAUGUACAAUAUAGAGUAGUUUCGGCACAGUGUCUUGGGCCGCAAGACCCAGGUCGACGACACCCACUAUUGUAAUAAUUGUCAUGAUUUACGUAUAAUAAUACUAACCGUAACACAGGCAGCGGCAAGAGCGUCACAUUAGACAGAGGAAAAUUAGCUGAUUGCGGCUGAGUUUCAAAGCUCAUGAAUCUUCAACGACAUGCGUAAUUUUAACGCAACACAAAAGAGUGCGACUCUCAAUAACAACUCACAACUUCUCAAAGUGACAUUCAAAACUACCUAGAAAAAAAGCCAAUAUUCUACAGCUAGGAAACUUUACCAAAGCCCCCCGAUACUGCCGAAGCAAAUAUCCCAAGGUAAGGCCCGAUAUCCGUAAACGACACCCACACAUUAAGAUGAAACAGGACUACAUAACGCUUGUCACAGUCAUUCACUGACGGAUUAUGACUAAUCAAUUGUUAAUUCGAAAUUCAAGUUCACGCGAAAAUCGUUGUCUGAUCUGAUAGUUAAGGAUGUCAUUUGGAGAAAAUAGUUGACACUUUCCAUAUUAUAGAAAGGGUAAAAAUUAAUGGAAGACUGGAAACAACUCGGUAGCAGGCAAGGGGUUCUAAAUCAAUGUAAAAAACUUGCCCUAUAUUUUUUCUAUACUUUAGCGAAACUAUUUUUCGAUCAUUACGCCUGUAGAUCAUUACGCCAUUAGAAUAAGCAAACGUAAAGCAAAAAGGUAAUACAAGUUAUACGGAAUAUUAUACCAAUAAGCAUAACGUUGAGGUAUAAUGACCUCCUGAACACGUAGCAACCUUUGCGUUCCAUAUAUUGUUUGGAAUCUUGUUAUCAUUUGAAUUGAUAGAUAAGUACUUCGGUGCGAAUUAAUUAAACUUGAAACAGAGGAAACUGGAACGAACGCGAACUUACCGUUUCCUCUGUUUAAAUGCAACCGCCUUCAAUAACCAAUGCGUUCAUCCGAAAAUGCACAUUAUCCAACGUUUAGCAUUAAAUGUAUCAUUAAUAUAACCGUAUGUAUCAUUAGUAUAAAUAUGACUAGAGCUUCACUAGUUGUGACAUUACCUUUUUUAAUUUUUUUAAGAAGGGGGAAGUGUUAUUCACAUUAGUGAACACCAUCCGGGAUGGAAAUAAGUUCGGCAAACUUAGUUUGAUUUUAAAAAAUCACCUCUUGUCAUCUCUCUCUAAACGUAUGCCAAUGAUUUGGAACCGCUGAAAUGUUAUGUUGAUGCAGUACAGACGUUGGCGACUAAGGGUUGGUUACUUCAGUCAACACGUGACCAACUUAAAAUGCUCAUGCAAGGUUAUCGAUUAGUAUUUGCAACGGCUUGAUUCUGCCAAAAAUCUACCGUUUGAUACGUUACGUACACAUUCGAGUAAUGAUCAAGGUGUCGUUGGAACGUGGGCAAAUAACACGAGGUUCGCUGUCUCCUUGUAAGCCUUAGAUAAAAAUAAGAACACUAUGACGUUUGAAAACACGUCUUUUCACAUAAUUUGAAUGCUUUUUUAUUUCUACGUCGUUAUAAAUUUUCAACGAUUCCACCAAUGUUAACCACAUCCAGAAUUGUAAGACUUGUCAUACGCUCAAGGGUAAUAGUUUGUGGAUCUCACUUUCGCUAUAGCUGUUCCUGCCGAA
This 3597-nucleotide long non-coding RNA is filed under the name Varroa destructor (honeybee mite). RNAcentral describes it as "uncharacterized LOC111245335, transcript variant X1". The record is from RNAcentral. Lineage: Eukaryota; Metazoa; Arthropoda; Arachnida; Mesostigmata; Varroidae.